This 920-nucleotide ribosomal RNA is filed under the name uncultured Caldisericota bacterium. RNAcentral describes it as "bacterial SSU rRNA". It matches the Rfam family "Bacterial small subunit ribosomal RNA", at positions 28 to 916 of the family's 1533-position model. Lineage: Bacteria; Pseudomonadati; Caldisericota. The record is from RNAcentral.
GAUGAACGCUGGCGGCGUGCCUUACACAUGCAAGUCGUGCGAGGGCUUUUUGUUAGGGUAACCUAACGGAAAGUUCCUAGCGGCAAACGGGUGAGUAAUGGAUGGGUAACCUGCCCUAAAGACGAGGAUAGCCUCCCGAAAGGAAGAGUAAUACUCGAUAAUAUUGCAGAACUUCGGUUUCGCAAGGAAAGAUGGCCUCUGUUUCAUGCUAUCACUUUAGGAUGGGCUCAUCUCCUAUCAGCUUGUUGGUGAGGUAAAGGCUCACCAAGGCAACGACGGGUAGCUGGUCUGAGAGGAUGGUCAGCCACAUUGGGACUGAGACACGGCCCAGACUCCUACGGGAGGCAGCAGUGGGGAAUAUUGGUCAAUGGGCGAAAGCCUGAACCAGCGACGCCGCGUGGAGGAUGAAGGUCGGAAGAUUGUAAACUCCUUUUGUGAAGGAAAAAGGGUUAGAUUUCAAAUAGGGAUUUAACUUUGAUGGUACUUUACGAAUAAGCCCCAGCCAACUACGUGCCAGCAGCUGCGGUAAAACGUAGGGGGCGAGCGUUAUCCGGAAUUACUGGGUGUAAAGGGUACGCAGGCGGACCGGAAAGUUGGAUGUAAAAACUCAGAGUUUAACUCUGAGCUCGCAUUCAAAACUUCCGGUCUAGAGAGCAGAAGAGGGAAGUGGAAUUCCUGGUGUAGCGGUAAUAUGCUUAGAUAUCAGGAAGAACACCGGUGGCGAAGGCGGCUUCCUGGUCUGUCUCUGACGCUCAGGUACGAAAGCUAGGGGAGCAAACAGGAUUAGAUACCCUGGUAGUCCUAGCUGUAAACGAUGGAUGCUUGGUGUUGGAGAGUAAAUCCUCGGUGCCGUAGCUAACGCGUUAAGCAUCCCACCUGGGGAGUACGGCCGCAAGGUUGAAACUCAAAGGAAUUGACGG